This is a long non-coding RNA of Antechinus flavipes (yellow-footed antechinus), 801 nucleotides long. RefSeq lists it as uncharacterized. The transcript is spliced from 2 exons. The record is from RefSeq and is a predicted model, not a curated record. Lineage: Eukaryota; Metazoa; Chordata; Mammalia; Dasyuromorphia; Dasyuridae.
CUGACUGAAGCAAAGCUAAGCACUGGCUGGUACACAGACUAUCAAGCAAGGUAUUGGAGAUUCUGGGUCCCAAAGUAUAGUCCUGUCAAAGGGCUCCAGAGAGCCCUGCAUCCUCUGCUACUACUUUUGAGAGCACUCUUUCUGACAGUCUUGAACAACAUGAUGGUAGGAGGCAUUACUGAAGCAAAAGACUAGGGUGUUCCAGGUUUUUUUUUCUUCUAACUUGGAAAGGAUAAUGUCUACCUUGGAGACAGUAGGAUUUAUUGUAACUGAUUCCCUCUGGAGUUGCCUGAAGAGCACAGCUGUUAAAAAUAACCCAGAGGAAAUCAGCAUAAAUUCUAACUGGGACCCAAAGGAGUCCAAUUCCCAAGUGAAGACUGGCACAGAGAUUGUAACUAUCUCCCAGGGCCAAAAUGCUAGUAAAAACCUUAUGGAUCCAAGCUUCAUAUCGUGCUGUUAUUUAACAUGUGUUUCAAAUGGAGUCUCACAGCAGAGUGAUUUUAAGGACAUUCUUUCCGGUUUAAAGCCAUCAAGGGAAGGCAGCAUUGUGUUUCAAGAAUGAAUAAAAAAGCUGCUUCAAACUUCCUCCAAAGUGGAAAAACUGUGAAUAUCAAAUCUGCCUGAGUGAAGAUGUAGCCAUUGAAGAAUGGAAAAUGGGGGAUACUUAAGGCAAAGAGAAGAAAAAAAAAUUAAACUGCUCCAGAGACAAUGAAACUGAGAGGAGCUCUUAAUUAUGUAUUUUAAUUGCAAAGAAAAAAGCUAAUGCCUGAGGUCCUCUUUAUAUUAAAUAAUUUCAUCAUA